This 477-nucleotide ribosomal RNA is filed under the name uncultured bacterium. RNAcentral's name for it is "partial 16S ribosomal RNA". It matches the Rfam family "Bacterial small subunit ribosomal RNA", at positions 30 to 507 of the family's 1533-position model. The record is from RNAcentral.
AUUGAACGCUGGCGGCAUGCCUUACACAUGCAAGUCGAACGGUAACAGGUUAAGCUGACGAGUGGCGAACGGGUGAGUAAUGUAUCGGAACGUGCCCAGUCGUGGGGGAUAACUGCUCGAAAGAGCAGCUAAUACCGCAUACGACCUGAGGGUGAAAGCGGGGGAUCGCAAGACCUCGCGCGAUUGGAGCGGCCGAUACCAGAUUAGGUAGUUGGUGAGGUAAAGGCUCACCAAGCCGUCGAUCUGUAGCUGGUCUGAGAGGACGACCAGCCACACUGGGACUGAGACACGGCCCAGACUCCUACGGGAGGCAGCAGUGGGGAAUUUUGGACAAAGGGCGCAAGCCUGAUCCAGCCAUGCCGCGUGCGGGAAGAAGGCCUUCGGGUUGUAAACCGCUUUUGUCAGGGAAGAAAAGGUUCUGGCUAAUACCUGGGACUCAUGACGGUACCUGAAGAAUAAGCACCGGCUAACUACGUG